UACGAAGGGGGCAAGCGUUGUUCGGAAUUACUGGGCGUAAAGGGCGCGUAGGCGGUGCACUAAGUCAGGCGUGAAAGCCCUGGGCUCAACCCGGGAAUUGCGCUUGAUACUGGUGUGCUCGAAUCCAGGAGAGGUUGGUGGAAUUCCCAGUGUAGAGGUGAAAUUCGUAGAGAUUGGGAAGAACACCGGUGGCGAAGGCGGCCAACUGGACUGGUAUUGACGCUGAUGCGCGAAAGCGUGGGGAG
This 245-nucleotide ribosomal RNA is filed under the name uncultured bacterium. RNAcentral describes it as "partial 16S ribosomal RNA". It matches the Rfam family "Bacterial small subunit ribosomal RNA", at positions 524 to 768 of the family's 1533-position model. The record is from RNAcentral.